GUGUGUGUGUGUGUGUGUGUGUGUGUGUGUGGUUUCUCAACAUGUGUUUAAUGUACUGGUCCUGGAUGCUGCCACCUUGAUAGUGUGAUGUCCAUCUCUUCUGGCUCUAAUAGGACAAAUCUGCAGACUCCUGUGAGAUUGAACCCUGGCAGGUGUACAGAAAACCUUUGGUGUUUAAUGUACUGGUCCUGGAUGCAGCCACCUUGAUAGUGUGAUGUCCAUCUCUUCUGGCUCUAAUAGGACAAAUCUGCAGACUCCUGUGAGAUUGAACCCUUGCAGGUGUACAGAAAACCUUUGGUGUUUAAUGUCCUGGUCCUGGAUGCAGCCACCUUGAUAGUGUGAUGUCCAUCUCUUCUGGCUCUAAUAGGACAAAUCUGCAGACUCCUGUGAGAUUGAACCCUGGCAGGUGUACAGAAAACCUUUGGAUGCUACAGAAUGCCCUGGGCCCAGGCAGGGGAAUCAGCCUUCAACCUGGCCCCACAACACCUUCCCUGGAAGGAACUGAGCCUGAAACUGCACCCCCUCUUCACCCUGCUCUA
Long non-coding RNA from Esox lucius (northern pike), 539 nucleotides. RefSeq lists it as uncharacterized. NCBI's taxonomy places the organism in Eukaryota, Metazoa, Chordata, Actinopteri, Esociformes, Esocidae. The transcript is spliced from 4 exons. The record is from RefSeq and is a predicted model, not a curated record.